Molecule: ribosomal RNA, 578 nt
Filed under: Ogataea polymorpha
Lineage: Eukaryota; Fungi; Ascomycota; Pichiomycetes; Pichiales; Pichiaceae
Description: eukaryotic LSU rRNA
Rfam family: Eukaryotic large subunit ribosomal RNA
Source: RNAcentral
GGAGGAAAAGAAACCAACAGGGAUUGCCUUAGUAGCGGCGAGUGAAGCGGCAAGAGCUCAAAUUUGAAAUCUGGUACCUUCGGUGCCCGAGUUGUAAUUUGAAGAAAGCUAUCUUGGAGGUGGCCUUUGUCUAUGUUCCUUGGAACAGGACGUCAUGGAGGGUGAGAAUCCCGUGUGAUGAGGUGUCCAUUUCCGUGUAAGAUGCUUUCGAAGAGUCGAGUUGUUUGGGAAUGCAGCUCAAAGUGGGUGGUAAAUUCCAUCUAAAGCUAAAUAUUGGCGAGAGACCGAUAGCGAACAAGUACUGUGAAGGAAAGAUGAAAAGAACUUUGAAAAGAGAGUGAAAAAGUACGUGAAAUUGUUGAAAGGGAAGGGUAUUUGAUCAGACUUGGUAUUUAGCUAUCAUCGCUCCUUGUGGGUGGUGCUCUAGCUUUUUACUGGGCCAGCAUCAGUUUUGGUGGCAAGAUAAUGACAGUUGAAUGUGGCUCCUCGGAGUGUUAUAGCUUCUGUUGAUGUUGCCUACCGAGACUGAGGUCUGCGGCUUUUGCCUAGGAUGCUGGCGUAAUGAUCCAAUACCGCCC